Molecule: transfer RNA, 73 nt
Filed under: Lachnellula arida
Lineage: Eukaryota; Fungi; Ascomycota; Leotiomycetes; Helotiales; Lachnaceae
Description: tRNA-Val
Rfam family: tRNA
About the family: Transfer RNA (tRNA) molecules are approximately 80 nucleotides in length.
Source: RNAcentral
GCUUGGUUGGUGUAGUGGUAAGCACAUCUGUUUCACACACAGGGGAUCGUGAGUUCGAACCUCACACCGAGCA